UGCCUGAUGCUGAUCGACGAACGUCAUGCGGUCGCGCGCGGGAUUGCCGCACAGCACGCCGCCGGUGCAUGUCGCCAGCUUCUUGAGCGAGGGCAGAAACUCGCUCUGCACGAAUUCGGUGACCUCGGCGAGGCGCUGCGGGUCGGCGUUGAAUGCGGGAUGAAUAUCGNCGGCGCGCCCGCCGGGGCAGGAGGCGCCAUUCAGCAGCGAUGGGUUCGCGUAUGACGUG
RNAcentral lists this unclassified non-coding RNA (229 nucleotides) under Hevea brasiliensis (rubber tree). The record is from RNAcentral. Lineage: Eukaryota; Viridiplantae; Streptophyta; Magnoliopsida; Malpighiales; Euphorbiaceae.